This 253-nucleotide ribosomal RNA is filed under the name uncultured bacterium. Its description in RNAcentral is "partial 16S ribosomal RNA". It matches the Rfam family "Bacterial small subunit ribosomal RNA", at positions 524 to 776 of the family's 1533-position model. The record is from RNAcentral.
UACGAAGGGUGCAAACGUUGCUCGGAAUUAUUGGGCGUAAAGCGCACGUAGGCGGCAUUGCAAGUCGGAUGUGAAAUCCCUCGGCUUAACCAAGGAAGUGCAUCCGAAACUGCAGUGCUUGAGUACUUAAGAGGAUCGCGGAAUUCCCGGUGUAGAGGUGAAAUUCGUAGAUAUCGGGAGGAACACCAGUGGCGAAGGCGGCGAUCUGGGAAGAUACUGACGCUGAGGUGCGAAAGCGUGGGGAGCAAACGGG